CCUACGGGAGGCUGCAGUGGGGAAUAUUGGACAAUGGGCGAAAGCCUGAUCCAGCCAUGCCGCGUGUGUGAAGAAGGCCUUCGGGUUGUAAAGCACUUUCAGUGGGGAAGAAAGCCUUGGGGCUAAUACCCUCGAGGAAGGACAUCACCCACAGCAGAAGCACCGGCUAACUCCGUGCCAGCAGCCGCGGUAAUACGGAGGGUGCGAGCGUUAAUCGGAAUUACUGGGCGUAAAGCGCGCGUAGGCGGUCUGAUAAGCCGGUUGUGAAAGCCCCGGGCUCAACCUGGGAACGGCAUCCGGAACUGUCAGGCUAGAGUGCAGGAGAGGAAGGUAGAAUUCCCGGUGUAGCGGUGAAAUGCGUAGAGAUCGGGAGGAAUACCAGUGGCGAAGGCGGCCUUCUGGACUGACACUGACGCUGAGGUGCGAAAGCGUGGGUAGCAAACAGGAUUAGAUACCCUAGUAGUC
RNAcentral lists this ribosomal RNA (465 nucleotides) under Vreelandella stevensii. Its description in RNAcentral is "partial 16S ribosomal RNA". It matches the Rfam family "Bacterial small subunit ribosomal RNA", at positions 338 to 795 of the family's 1533-position model. Lineage: Bacteria; Pseudomonadati; Pseudomonadota; Gammaproteobacteria; Oceanospirillales; Halomonadaceae. The record is from RNAcentral.